This is a non-coding RNA of Danio rerio (zebrafish), 196 nucleotides long. Lineage: Eukaryota; Metazoa; Chordata; Actinopteri; Cypriniformes; Danionidae. The record is from RefSeq and is a predicted model, not a curated record.
UCCACUAUUUCAGCUUCAUCAUUCAGCCUGGAAACUGAACUGCUUCAUAAAACUUGUGCUUGAAAAGUGUCAUGGGACCCAUAUUAAGUUUCCAAAUUUGAUCUGCUGCACACAAGUAGCUUUGAAGAAGAAGGAUCCCAGCUUAAAGAAAAAUAUGUGUCACAUCCAUAAUUGUUUGACAUCAUCUUCAAGCACA